GGAUUGGUGGAAGAGGCAGGGCAGGCCAGGAACAAGCGUCACCUCCCUCUCGCCUUCUACUACACAACGCGCAUGCGCAUAUAUCGUGGGUUGGAGAAGAAGACGCUUGUUGUUGGUGGUAGUUUUUCAUACAAGUGCCAUUUUGUCUACAUGUCGAGAGCGCCGUGAUUGGAUUUUGUGUGUGGGUAUUGGAGCCAAUCAGAGAAACCGGGCGGCGGACAAACGCAGUAGACUGAAUUGAGGCCUUUCAGAGUUCAUUGACCAUGGAGCAGUACACUACCGCCACCACAUCUACUGGGGAACAGAUAGUGGUUCAGACUGCCGCUGGGCAGAUCCAACAACAGGUGCAGGGGCAGCCUCUGAUGGUGCAGGUGAGCGGUGGUCAGCUCAUCACCUCGUCGGGCCAGCCCAUUAUGGUCAUGGGGGGGCAGGGAGGGCAGGGGCAGACCAUCAUGCAGGUGCCCAUGUCUGGAGCUCAGGGGCUCCAACAGAUCCAGCUGGUGCAGCCAGGUCAGAUCCAGCUCCAGGGGGGACAGACUCUACAGGUACAGGGUCAGCAAGGCCAGACCCAGCAGUUCAUCAUUCAGCAGCCCCAAACUGCUGUGACCGCAGGACAGAACCAGGGCCAGCAGCAGAUUACAUUACAGCCAGGGCAGCAAGUGGCUCAGACUGCAGACGGCCAGACCAUUGUGUACCAGCCAGUCAAUGCUGAUGGGUCCAUUCUACAGCAAGGUAUGAUUACCAUCCCUGCCUCUAGUCUGGCUGGUGCUCAGAUCGUUCAGGCAGGCAACAGCUCCAAUACAACAAACAGUAGUCAGGGUACAGUGACCGUCACACUGCCUGGCAACAUGGUCAACGCAGGUGGCAUGGUCAUGAUGGUUCCGGGUGGUGGUGGCAGUGUUCCCACCAUGCAGCGUAUCCCCCUGCCGGGGGCGGAGAUGCUGGAGGAGGAGCCUCUGUAUGUCAACGCUAAGCAGUACCACCGCAUCCUGAAGAGACGGCAGGCCCGCGCCAAGCUGGAGGCAGAGGGAAAGAUCCCCAAGGAGAGGAGGAAAUACCUGCACGAGUCUCGUCACAAGCACGCCAUGGCAAGGAAGAGGGGUGAUGGCGGACGCUUUUUCUCGCCGAAGGAGAGGGAGGAGAUGGCUCUGGCCAUGCAGGUGAGGAGGGCUCAGGGUGCCCUCAAACAAGAGGACGUGUUUGGAGGUGUUGAACUCAACUCUAAUUGGCAACCUACUUCUGUUGCCUCCCUCAGCUAACCAACAAGUAGCAGCCAUUUCCACCCCUCACUCUGUCACAUGUCCACCGCAGCCACUCAUUUCCCCUGCACUCUUAAAAUGGUCAUCAUUGCUAUCUUUGUAUGUUUUUAUUAUAUUGGUUACCUUGUAGUUUUGUAUCAAAGAAUAGUAUAGUUUUUCACAAGUUAUGUUUUUUUUGUACUUGCUUGUUUUUUGAGUAUAUAGACGGGGGUGCUUUUAGAUGCGGGCAUAUUUUUUUGUGUACCUUCUGUUGUUCUUUUGAUGUAUUCCAGCCACUUGAUCCCUAACCAUGUCUCUGGCAAACCGCACUGAGUUCAAAAGCUCGUUCUUUCACAUAGAGCUCUACAUACUGAUCACAGGAGGCUGCUGAGGGGAGAACACCUCAUAAUAAUGUCCAGAACAGAAACGGAGCAGAUGGAAUGGCAUCAAACACCUGGAAACCAUGUGUUUUGAUGUAUUUGUUACCAUUCCAAUUAUUCUGCUCCGGUCAUUAUCACGAGCCCAUCCGCCCCAUUUAAGGUGCCACCAACCUCCUUUGAUACUGACUCAGUAAAAUGUUCUCCAAUGUCAUUUGAAAUGCGUCUUGGCUUUGUUUGAGCUCUUGUUGCAAGCUGAAGAAUGUUGGAAUGUUAAUGUUGCUGUUUUUGUCCAGUGUUGCUUCCUUGCUGUUGUGUUUCCUUGUUAAACUUGUACCAUGUUGUAGUGUAAACAUCUCUGCUAACACCUGUGUUCAUUUAACAGCUGCAGGGCUAGGAUGGGAGUGGUGUAAAGGUACAGGCGGCCCAACCACAUGCUAGAGAAGAGGCAGUCGGGCAGGUGAUCCGUGUUUCAUAACCUCUAGAAGACCUGUGAGGUGUGUGUGUGUGUGCUCAUGUGUUUGUCUCUGUGAGAAUGGUUGCGGAGGAGUUGAGAUCAGAUGUCCCACACAUCAAUCAACCAGUGCUUUCCAACCAGUCCCAAGCUGCCCAAGUCCCCUGUCUGGUAGAGAGCAGGACAGACUGGGUGAAGAGAUUGCUAGCACACAGAGAUACUGCACAUACAGAUAUACUGUAACCAUGGUAACACUGGAGAACAAUUGGGCCUUCUGGAGGAAAUGUAUUUUAAGAAACAGCACAAGUUCUACAAGAAAGUUUCCUCCAAAGCAACCUUGACUUGUUUCAUGUCAGUUACUUUUAUCUCUGGAUGUGCCACAAGAACUUGAUCAAUAAACACACCAUCCUAUAGGGCACAAGUCCAAAGUGGUUGUUAUGAUAGCCCUCUUCCUUUCCUGAUGCUCUUCAGAAAUAUGAAAUAGUUUUUCUUUUGUACAGAUAAGUUGUGUCCUCUGGUUCAUGAUAAUAUGUAACUAUCAUCACUUAUUUUAAGGCUUUUCAGACUUUAAAAAAAUGAUUUCCUGGUUAUUCUAUUUGAAAGGAGCAAUAAUCAAAUGCCUAAUUACCUGCAUCAGUUUUUUAUAUUGUGUUGUAACAGUCUUGUAAGAGUGUAGAUGCUUUUUUUAUUGCAUAAAUAAAAGGAAACAGCAUUAUCAAA
RNA transcript from Oncorhynchus mykiss (rainbow trout), 2789 nucleotides. It is a transcript of the gene named nuclear transcription factor Y subunit alpha, with no coding region annotated. The record is from RefSeq and is a predicted model, not a curated record. Lineage: Eukaryota; Metazoa; Chordata; Actinopteri; Salmoniformes; Salmonidae.